CGAUUUAACCAAAACCGCUUUGCUGAUCCGACCCGCGAACUUAACCGAUCCCUACCCCGAUCUCCGUCGCUCUUCCCCCAAAGAGAACGAGACGACGACUGGCUCUCGUCGUCGCCCGACCGCGGUGCCGAACGUGGACUUCGGGAGCUACUAGGCGACGGACUAUCCUAGAACGGUGCUUCAUCUAGGUGUGACCCAAGAGUGGAUAGAUGAAGGUCGAUUGCCAAAGGAGCGAACAAAAUCGAAGGUGGAAGAGACCCUGCGAUGUAUUGGCAGAGGCCACAUAUUGAGGGUUCACAAUUCGAGUUCAUCUCAUAAGGAUCAAAAUGCAAUAGAGAUGUCACCAGGAGGCGACAUGGUGCAGCGGAUCGUGGUGAAACAGCUCAUGACAAUACGAUACACACAACAUAGUCCUGUGAGGGAUAAUGACAUAUUAAGAAAAAUACAUAUGUUUGAUUUCAUUUUAUUAUAUUAUCAUUAUAUGUAAAUUUUUUUUAUUUUUAUAAUUAUGAAAGAUCAUCAUAAAUUACAA
This is a long non-coding RNA of Musa acuminata AAA Group (dessert banana), 532 nucleotides long. RefSeq lists it as uncharacterized. The record is from RefSeq and is a predicted model, not a curated record. Lineage: Eukaryota; Viridiplantae; Streptophyta; Magnoliopsida; Zingiberales; Musaceae. The transcript is spliced from 2 exons.